GGGCAUCCAAGAGACAACCCAUAGUGUCCCUUUCAUCUACAGAAGCUGAAUUUAUUGCUGCAGCAGAAUGCUGUAAAGAAGCGUUAUACCUAAAAUCGUUUUUAAAGGAAAUAACAGAUAUAGAAGCAAAAAUAAAUCUUCAUGUCGACAACCAAAGCUCGAUACAGCUAGUAAAAUCUGGUUCCUGCAACAAAAGAUCUAAGCAUAUAGACGUGCGAUACCAUUUCAUACACGAACACUUUGUGCAAGGGCUGAUCAACAUAAGCUACUGCCCAACCGAAGUACAGUUAGCAGACAUAAUGACAAAGCCAUUGGGUAAAGUGAAGUUUGCUGGACACUGUGAGACGUUAAUGUGUGGAUAGUGCCAUACUGCAGCCACAUGAGCAUCCACCAGGAGAAGGUGUUGGAAAGUGCUGGCUGUUCAUAUUGUCUAUGAUCGCGGGAAUAUUUGAAUUUGUUUUCUUGACAUGGUUUUCUAUUUUGAUGUCAUUAUAUCGAUCGUGUAACAUGUGUUGAUUUUCUCUCUGAAUAAACCUAAUCAAUAUUGCAUCAAUAUAUUCCUAUUAUUUCGUCACUGCUUUCCACCAUCAAUAUACCCUCCAUAAAGCCUUGCACUUGGGUCUGGCCGGUUAGAACAUAGACAAAAGUCUGCAAUGUCAAUGCAGUCAAAGUCAUUGACGCAAAACUAUUUUCAUUUUCAAAACUAUCAGUUUUCAUAUAAAAUGAUUAAAUAACGAUUUAUAUUCUUGAAAUAGAUUUAUUGAUUAAUUUUUAAAAUUAAAAAUCCACCGCACAUUAUCUCCGCUCAGACUCGGUUAAAGUUUAAUCCAUUUUACUGAACUAAGAAACAACAAUUAUUUCAAGAGGGUGAACGUGAGCAAAAAAUCCUUGGGCGUCAUAUCAUUUCCUUGGAAAGGCACGGAUCCGCCACAUAAUUGUGACUAGUUGUAGUUUCCCGGUGACCAUCAACAAGACCGCUGCACUGAGCUGUGGAGCAGAAAGUGUCCGACAAUCGGAUAGAUGUAAUAACAACUUUGUCUGUCAUAUAUUCAUGUAUUUUUAGUUUUUUGGGCUAAUAUAUGUGAUAUGAUUACAAGUUACACUAAUUGCAAUUGUGGAGUAAAAUCAGAUGUGCCAAAGAUCAUGUUUUAGAUAUAUAAAAAGCUAUAUUAAAUGCAAUAAAUAGUAUAUGUAUAUAUAUAUAAAA
This is a long non-coding RNA of Cydia pomonella (codling moth), 1207 nucleotides long. RefSeq lists it as uncharacterized. The record is from RefSeq and is a predicted model, not a curated record. NCBI's taxonomy places the organism in Eukaryota, Metazoa, Arthropoda, Insecta, Lepidoptera, Tortricidae. The transcript is spliced from 2 exons.